Molecule: long non-coding RNA, 3947 nt
Organism: Grus americana (Whooping crane)
Lineage: Eukaryota; Metazoa; Chordata; Aves; Gruiformes; Gruidae
Exons: 3
Source: RefSeq, a predicted model, not a curated record
CGACCAGGCAGGAGGCGAAGGUAGCCGAGUCCCUCCUCCCUUUCCUUUCGCCCCGCCUUCCCACCCCGGGCCAAGCGGCGGGCUGCCGAGCGGGGAGGAGGAGGAAGGAGGAGGAGGAAGGGGGCGGGCCGGCAGCCGGGGCCGGGAGGGUAAAAUGGCGGCGGCUGCUGCUGCUGCGGCUCCGCGCGCGCCUGGGGUUGGGCGGGAAGCGCGUUUCCCUGCCCUCUUCCCGCCUCCCGCCAGGGGGGAAUCUGCUCCAAUAACGCGCACACGCUGCUCUGACAGGGACGGAGCAGCGGCGUCGCCUGCUCUGCUUACAGCGACCGGCUGCCACCACAGGAGUCCCCCUGCCCGCCCCCGCGGGUGCCCUGAAGCCGUGCUACCACCGUAUCUUCGCUUUCCCGCCGCGCUCGCCUCUUUCCGGGCUGCCGGAGGAUGAUUCCCGAGGCAGAUUAGGGCGGCUCUCCGCUGAGCGGGACGUCGGUUUUGAGGGCUGCCCGGUUAUUCUCUCCUUAUUAUUAAAUAUGCUGGCCCAGCUGGAGACGUCCUAGAGCACCGGCGGAAGGCGGCGGGCUGGCGCGAAGGCCCUUUGGGACCUCCGGCCUGAAGGGAGCGCUUAGCACACGCUGCCGAGCUCCCGCGGGUGCCUGACGGGCACGCAGCGUAGGAAGGAAGCUUCUUAUUUCUAGGCGGGUUUUCAGGUCUUUCGUCUUUUUGGUAGUUAACUGGCGUUUUCCGCCGGCGAGGCGCGGGACGGAAGAGUUGUCAGCCAUCUCCUUCCCGCCCAGCCCCGGCUGAGGGGAGCCGAAGGGGCCGGCGCGUUUGGGCACUUCCGAUCCCGGCCUCAUGAAAAUAAACCUUUCUAGUGCUGUGAUAGUGUUUUACGCUAAUAAUUAAAUUAUUUUUACCUCAUAGUUUUUGUUUUUUUCAUCCCCCUUUGACAGUGAUUUAUUCUGCACAAUAACUGUCUAAUGGCAAGUACAGCGCACCUGUGACUAGUGGGGAAUACCACCUUUUCAUGAGAAGACAAGUCUACCUCUUAAAAAUAAACGAUAGGACUUCACUUAAAUUAGGAUUUCUGAGAAUAACAAAGGACACCAAUACAAGAGAGGAUGACGACUACGCCUUUCACAACUUGUCUGUACAAUAUGCCACAUGCUGUUUUCUGAAUCAUAUCAGUCUUCAUUUGCCAGAAUAUCCUUUACUUUUUACCAUUAUCAAAAAUGAAGUUACUGAAGUUGGAAGACAGAGCUGUACAAAGAGAAGCUGAGAAAGCAUCUUAACUAUAUCCCACCAAAAUAAUAUAAAACCUGUAUCUCCAAGAAGUCAAGCUUAUUUGCUUCUUUCACCUUUCAGAUCAUAUUGCACAGGUAUUCCCGCUAGCAUAGAAUGAAUCAGUGGCUAUAUGAGUUGUUUGUGUCUGGAAAAAGACCGCAUUUUUUUUGACAGAAAGCAUAGUUGCACACUCUCCAUAACUUGAUUUAAAUUUGCACAUUUCUUUCCCCUCUUCCUUCCUUAUACAGACCUUACAGUGAAUUUUAUAACACAACCAAAAUUAACUGUCAAAACAUCUUAAAAGAUUGUUUUUCUGACAAAUCAACUCUUUGAUCCGAUUGCAGCACCACAUAAACACCGGAGUCAGCACAAGGAAGGGGCCUUUUGAAGCAUGGUAUCACAUGCCAAGUUCAAUGAAUACAACAGCAGAGUAUGGGUGACCUUGAGUCACUCCUACUUUUGUGCAGACUGGAAUAUUGCCAGCCAAAUUCUUUUUACUGCGCACAAUCUUUUAUAUAUAUAUAUAGAUUAAAUCGCAUUUUUUUUUCUUUUAAAUUAAAUAUUGGCUUCCAAGCAGAAGACAUUCCUGGUUACAGCGAUCAUCAGCCUCCCACUCAGAAUUCUAUGUGUCGCUUUUUUUCUCUUGACCUUUAUUCUAUCCUCAUGUGCCAUCCUUACAAGGUUGUUUGAUCCCCAGGAGGCCCUCUUUCCUUCCCUUGACUGCAGUGCUCCUGAUCUGGAAAUAUUUGCUCUGGUAAACUGCCAGCACAGUUCUUCUAGAGGAAUAACUUAGAUAAAUGCAAGAGCUGAGGAAAACUAAAAUUCUAAAUCCAAAUUUAGGACUGGAUUAAGAGUUUGAGGAAAAUAUAUACUUUCUAAAAUUAAUGGCAUCCCAACACUUAACUAAUACUGUAGCCCUGGCUUUCUUUAGGGUAGAGUUAACCAUUCCCCCACCCUGCCCCUCAAAAAACCCCCCCACAAAACACUACCAAAAAUACCCCCCAAAACCUCAUAAGCCAAAACCAACAACAACCCUGAGGUAGAUUAGGGCUUGAGGGAGUAAGGCUGGUCACUGCCCCUGUUCUUUUUUUGGGACACUUCAGCCACUCCUAGCCUGCCUCGUACUUCAUAUUUUUACGCUUUCAUUCAAUGUAUAUACAUAUUUAGUUGGUCAUUUGACUUCAUUAUAGUAAUUGUGGAAUGUAAAAAUACAAUGAAAACUUUUUUUUUUUUUUACAUUAUUCAUGUCAACUACUUCAACCAGAGCUUUGUCUGAUGUGGGGAUGACUGAAUUAUCUUCUGUUUGAACUUUCUGUUGCUCUGCUGCAGGUUCCCAUUCCCAUAGCAGCAACAGCCAAAUGGAUUGCAUGAUUGUUCCUCUGCUGCCACAAUUUACAACAAAAGGCAAACUACCAGUGACUUCAGCAGAUGCUAAGAGCUGUGACAGUUGGAAAGCAAGUAAUUUCUGCUAUACAGAAGAUAGUGUCAAAAAGGUGAAUUCCAGCCAGUCCAGUUGUAUCUGUGACCUCUGGUCUGGAAUGAUGCUGGAGAUGGUUGGAACUCAUUGCCUAGGAAGUCAGUCUCUGCCUGUAAAAUGUAAAGUUACCAACAAAGCCUGGCUGAAGCGCAACAGAAUCAGUUUAAAUUUACACACUUUAAAGUUUCAGUACUUGGAUUUCAAAAUGAAGCUGUCUUCUAGUUAUAGUUCCAUUGCUCUAGCUAUUAGCAUUUAAACUUUUUAAUGUGGUUCACAGCUAACUGGACUUUGUUGAAGACAGCUUCAAUUAGUUUCAUUUACCCCAAAUAUUAAAGCAGCCACUCAAAAUAAGUUCUUAUCCUAUUGGGCCAAAACACAUGUGUGUUUCGAUCUUCCUUUUGAUUAUCUCAUUCUAUAAAGUAGCUAUCAGAUGACUCAUCAUCCCUUUGAUGUGCAAGGAAGACAACAGGUAGUUUUCUGAGCAUGAGUGACAGUGCCAUCAGGAGCUGAACCAUCUUACCAAAGUGCAGACAGCUUUUUUUUUUUUGUACAUUUGGACCUCUUUUGGACUUUUUACUGGUAAAGCAUGUCUUUACAAUGUUCCUUUGAAGAGCUUUGCUUGUGUGAUUGCACAGUUGCAAGUUUCAAGUUACCCUGAAAGCAAACCGCUCAGAGGUAAAGCUCUGGGAAAAGAGUUCACAAGCUCAUUGCAAAGCUCUGAGAAGUUCAUAAAACCAGUUAUGAAGGUUGAUGCAAAAAUGCUUAAGCCAGAUCUUAUACUAAAGAGAUGCCACGAGAGAAAGCUGGUCAUUACUGCCUGGUUAUCAGUACAUGUGUUAAAAUAACGAGCAGUGGUAGUUAAGUGCGCUGCAGUCAGCUCUUUGCAGCACACACACACACUUAACAUCGUUCCAUGGUCACAUCACACAAUUUUAACUCCUCCAACCUAAAUUGGCCGAUCCUUCCUGAUAGUCUUCACUGACAUUACAGAAUCCAGGAAAGACUACAGACUUCUCAGAACUCAGAAAAAAACUGAGACUAUUUUAAGACGACUCAAUAUUUAAAAGGUGUUCACAAUAAAAAACCCAGGCCCCUCGACAUAAUUUGAUGGGGGACUUGGAAGAGACUAUCCAAUGUACUGCCUAGGAAAAUAUGCUGUUUAAUUUUGAAGUUGCAAGGGGUAAAUAAAAGUGAA